GGGCUGCUAGCUCAGCGGUAGAGCGCCCACCUUGCACGUGUGAGGCACUGGGUUUGAUCCUCAGCACCACA
Molecule: transfer RNA, 71 nt
Filed under: Marmota monax (woodchuck)
Lineage: Eukaryota; Metazoa; Chordata; Mammalia; Rodentia; Sciuridae
Description: tRNA.Ala
Rfam family: tRNA (bases 8-64)
About the family: Transfer RNA (tRNA) molecules are approximately 80 nucleotides in length. Their secondary structure includes four short double-helical elements and three loops (D, anti-codon, and T loops). Further hydrogen bonds mediate the characteristic L-shaped molecular structure. tRNAs have two regions of fundamental functional importance: the anti-codon, which is responsible for specific mRNA codon recognition, and the 3' end, to which the tRNAs corresponding amino acid is attached (by aminoacyl-tRNA synthetases). tRNAs cope with the degeneracy of the genetic code in two manners: having more than one tRNA (with a specific anti-codon) for a particular amino acid; and 'wobble' base-pairing, i.e. permitting non-standard base-pairing at the 3rd anti-codon position.
Source: RNAcentral